ACAGUCGAGCGGGUAGCACAGAGAGCUUGCUCUCGGGUGACGAGCGGCGGACGGGUGAGUAAUGUCUGGGAAACUGCCUGAUGGAGGGGGAUAACUACUGGAAACGGUAGCUAAUACCGCAUAACGUCGCAAGACCAAAGUGGGGGACCUUCGGGCCUCAUGCCAUCAGAUGUGCCCAGAUGGGAUUAGCUAGUAGGUGGGGUAACGGCUCACCUAGGCGACGAUCCCUAGCUGGUCUGAGAGGAUGACCAGCCACACUGGAACUGAGACACGGUCCAGACUCCUACGGGAGGCAGCAGUGGGGAAUAUUGCACAAUGGGCGCAAGCCUGAUGCAGCCAUGCCGCGUGUGUGAAGAAGGCCUUCGGGUUGUAAAGCACUUUCAGCGGGGAGGAAGGCGAUAAGGUUAAUAACCUUGUCGAUUGACGUUACCCGCAGAAGAAGCACCGGCUAACUCCGUGCCAGCAGCCGCGGUAAUACGGAGGGUGCAAGCGUUAAUCGGAAUUACUGGGCGUAAAGCGCACGCAGGCGGUCUGUCAAGUCGGAUGUGAAAUCCCCGGGCUCAACCUGGGAACUGCAUUCGAAACUGGCAGGCUAGAGUCUUGUAGAGGGGGGUAGAAUUCCAGGUGUAGCGGUGAAAUGCGUAGAGAUCUGGAGGAAUACCGGUGGCGAAGGCGGCCCCCUGGACAAAGACUGACGCUCAGGUGCGAAAGCGUGGGGAGCAAACCGGAUUAGAUACCCGGGUAGUCCACGCCGUAAACGAUGUCGAUUUGGAGGUUGUGCCCUUGAGGCGUGGCUUCCGGAGCUAACGCGUUAAAUCGACCGCCUGGGGAGUACGGCCGCAGGUU
RNAcentral lists this ribosomal RNA (846 nucleotides) under Klebsiella variicola. RNAcentral's name for it is "bacterial SSU rRNA". It matches the Rfam family "Bacterial small subunit ribosomal RNA", at positions 58 to 895 of the family's 1533-position model. Lineage: Bacteria; Pseudomonadati; Pseudomonadota; Gammaproteobacteria; Enterobacterales; Enterobacteriaceae. The record is from RNAcentral.